UCUACUUACAGCACAUCUGAGACCAGUGAUGCAUCCAAGAUCGUCCUUAGAGCCUACAACCUUCUACUAGGUUGGGUAGCAUAAAGAAGGAGCAGGCUCUGCCCUGCAGUGCCUGGUGUUCCUGGGAAAAGACAGUGUUGGAGCUGACAUCCAAACAAUGGCUGUGUGAAAAGUGAACUGUUCGUGGGGUUUCACCAUCCAUACGCCCACAGUGGAGGCGAGAGGAAGAGGGGGACUUAGGCUUCCUGAAGCUCCAACAUGAACCUGUUGAUGAGGUCAAUCACAUGAAAGUUAGGUAGCCCAUGCAUGGCUCAGGAGUCUGGAGACUAUGUGAAUACAAGAAAAGAGAAAGGUGGCAUUCUCUAAGCUGGUAUCUGAGACAGUCCCUGUAUAAAAAUAACUGACAUGGGUGACUUCAAUCUGGAAGCGGGGAUGGAAGGAAAGAAAGGAAGGAAGUUGGAAAGAAUAGAAAAAUGGUAGCGAUGAAUGAGAGAAAGAAACUCCUGAGAUAUCCCUGUGAUGGAGACAUCUGUAGAGCCGUAACCUCAACAUCUGUGAUAUCCCUGUGAUGAAGACAUCUGCAGAUUCUUAACCUCAACAUCUGUGACAUCCCUUUGAUUGAGAUGUCUGUAGAGCCUUAACCUCAGUGUCUGAGACAUCACUGUGAUGGAGAUGUCUGUAGAGCCUUAAUGUGCAUUACCUUCAAUGUCUGAGACACCCCUGUCAUAGAGAUAUCUAUAAAGCCCCAACAAGCUUUACCUUCAAUGUUCAAGACAUCCUUGUGAUGGAGACAUCUAUAGGGCCUUAAUGUGUGUUACCUUCAAUGUGUGAGACAUCUCUGCGAUGGGGUUGUCUGUAGAGCCUUAACUUCAUUGUUUGAGACAUCCCUGUGAUGGAGACAUCUAUAGAGUCUUAAUGCGCAUUACCUUUGAUGUCUACAGGCAAUCUGUUGUUAUUUGUUUGUGCAGUUAUCUCCCUACAAAUCUCUCUGCUCAAGAGUGGCUUAUUAUUCAUAUUAGCUGUAGGCAGGCACCACGGUGGCCCUCAAUGAGGUCAACAUAUAAGAGGGGAGAGCAGGGAGAUAGUUGCCAUGGACUUAGUAUGAUGCUUAGGAGAGCCAGCAGGUUGAAAACACAUCUGUGACACUGACUUUUCUGACACUCCUAUCCUCUGUUAGACAUUUCUUCUGCGUUUAGGAAGCUGCGUGAAAUGAAAUGUGCUCAGAGACAGGCAGUAGCCCAUAAGCCAUGCUGGAUAAGCCAGUGUAUCAAGCAAACAGUGGAUCUUAGCAGACACAACUUUAAUAAUGGAAUGUCCAAAGCCAUUAAGCUCCAUGGCUGAAACUAAAUCUGUUUUGCUUUUAAAUGGUAUUUCGAAACAUGAGGUCAAACAAGACCAGAAUCUAGGACAAGGCAGCUUGGGUGUGACCUUUCAAAGACUAGCUCUGAGCAACCUAUGUGACUUUGGAUGCAAUGUCUUCAUGUCUGCCUUAUGAUAUAUGGGAUGAGCCUUAAAAUGUACCCCAGCCAAAGGAUUAGUAAAUACAUUAAAUGUAUAAAGAAUGUCUCUGAAA
This is a long non-coding RNA of Mastomys coucha (southern multimammate mouse), 1573 nucleotides long. RefSeq lists it as uncharacterized. NCBI's taxonomy places the organism in Eukaryota, Metazoa, Chordata, Mammalia, Rodentia, Muridae. The transcript is spliced from 2 exons. The record is from RefSeq and is a predicted model, not a curated record.